ACCUCCUCAGUGGGCAAACAUGUUCUUGGAAGCGUGUCCAUGGUCAUUCUGGUGUCUGGUGAGCUGGCUCCUCGAGGUGAGAAAUGAAGAGGGAAACUCCUCUGAGCACUACGGAUCCUCAUUGUUUCAUGGCUUUUCCAAGAAGGUCCCGAUUCUGUGAGAUAAGCAGCAGCUUCCCUCAAGGUGUUUGCUUCCAUCAAGAUCUAAACAAGAGCCACACCUGUGAUGCGUUGUCAUGGCUUAGUCUCUGUCCAUCCGAAGGCCUCUUGCAUUUGAUGUGAGAUGGGACCUGCGUUGCUGUUGUGUAGUGUUUCCCCAGGGGCCAAGGCAUCCCCCUGCUGUGGUUUCACAUGGCCCUCAGUCUGCUGUUCCCUCUCAGGUGGCCAUGGUUCCAGAGGCUUGAUCAGAUUCAGGUCGGAGAGAGCCCAGGAUCGGAUACAUGCAGACAUGACAAGAUAAUGGACUUCCCCUGG
Myotis myotis is the source of this 473-nucleotide long non-coding RNA. RefSeq lists it as uncharacterized. The transcript is spliced from 3 exons. The record is from RefSeq and is a predicted model, not a curated record. NCBI's taxonomy places the organism in Eukaryota, Metazoa, Chordata, Mammalia, Chiroptera, Vespertilionidae.